Molecule: ribosomal RNA, 253 nt
Filed under: uncultured bacterium
Lineage: Bacteria
Description: partial 16S ribosomal RNA
Rfam family: Bacterial small subunit ribosomal RNA
Source: RNAcentral
UACGGAGGGGACUAGCGUUGUUCGGAAUUACUGGGCGUAAAGCGCGCGUAGGCGGAUUUGGAAGUCGGGGGUGAAAUCCCGAGGCUCAACGUCGGAACUGCUUUCGAUACUGCAAAUCUCGUGUCCGGAAGAGGUGAGUGGACUUCCUAGUGUAGAGGUUAAAUUCGUAGAUAUUAGGAAGAACACCAGUGGCGAAGGCGGCUCACUGGUCCGGUACUGACGCUGAGGCGCGAAAGCGUGGGGAGCAAACAGG